RNAcentral lists this ribosomal RNA (373 nucleotides) under uncultured organism. Its description in RNAcentral is "partial 16S ribosomal RNA". It matches the Rfam family "Bacterial small subunit ribosomal RNA", at positions 527 to 896 of the family's 1533-position model. The record is from RNAcentral.
GUAGGGUGCGAGCGUUAAUCGGAAUUACUGGGGCGUAAAGCGUGCGCAGGCGGUUGUGCAAGACAGAUGUGAAAUCCCCGGGGCUCAACCUGGGGAAUUGCAUUUGUGACUGCACGGCUAGAGUGUGUCAGAGGGGGGUAGAAUUCCACGUGUAGCAGUGAAAUGCGUAGAGAUGUGGAGGAAUACCGAUGGCGAAGGCAGCCCCCUGGGAUAACACUGACGCUCAUGCACGAAAGCGUGGGGAGCAAACAGGAUUAGAUACCCUGGUAGUCCACGCCCUAAACGAUGUCAACUAGUUGUCGGGUCUUAAUUGACUUGGUAACGCAGCUAACGCGUGAAGUUGACCGCCUGGGGAGUACGGUCGCAAAGAUUA